CCACUUUUCCUUUUUUAUUUUUUUGGUUUUUUGAGACAGGGUCUCACUAUGUACUGAGACUGACCUGGCAUUCACUGUGUAGCCCAGGCUGGUCUCAAUUCACAGCGAUCCAUCCUCCUGCCUCAGCCUCCCGAGUGCUGGGAUUACAGGCAUGCGCCACCACACCCGGCCAUAAACCUCUUUUCUUUAUGAAUCACCCAAUCUCAGGCGUUCUGUUAUAGCAACAGAAGAUGGACUAAGGCAUCCCUUUAUCCUCAAUACUCUUAGAUCCUGCUGAAUUUCUCCAGGUUUUCGCAAACCUCUUCCUGACACCCUCUGGCAGUAUCGGACACCCUGUGUAUCCUGCCUUAUCACCUCCGUCACCCCUAUUAACACAUCAUCAGCCUCCUAAACUGCACCCAGGCCCAUCUUGCUUCUGUGUGUAGCUCCAGGACAUUGUACAGUAUAUGGCAGCUGACAAAUAAAUUAUAUAAACUUGCCAAUUUUGAGACAUUUUUCCUUCCUCUUGGCCCCCACAAGACGUUUUAUGAUUUUGCAUUAAUUUUUCUCAAAUGAAAAUGAAUCACAUUGCUUUUGUUUCAGGAAUUUCACAUCCACCCACUGAAGCCAUCAGAGAUCUGGGGAAUCCAGAAGAUAAGAAUGAGGGCCAGGGAUUUAGCUCAGUGGUUCCACCACCUGCCUUGCAAGUGCAGGGACCAAGGACCCGAGUUCUAUCCUGGUACCAAAACAAAAACAGAAGAUAAAAAUGAGCUUCCCUGCCCGUCAUCCUUGGAGCCAAGCUGUCUGGAACCACUGUCUGCAAGGGCUUCUCUCCCAUCCCAGCAAGGGUACCCCGCAAUCAGAGCACCUCUGGCCGUGGGCUGCCCGGAUAAACACUGA
This 879-nucleotide long non-coding RNA is filed under the name Fukomys damarensis (Damara mole-rat). RNAcentral describes it as "lncRNA (ENSFDAG00000033283.1)". Lineage: Eukaryota; Metazoa; Chordata; Mammalia; Rodentia; Bathyergidae. The record is from RNAcentral.